UACGUAGGGUGCAAGCGUUAAUCGGAAUUAUUGGGCGUAAAGGGUGCGCCGGCGGAUGUAUAAGUCAGAUGUGAAAUCCCCGGGCUUAACCUGGGAAUUGCGUUUGAAACUAUAUGACUAGAGUGUGAUAGAGGGGAGUGGAAUUCCAUGUGUAGCAGUGAAAUGCGUAGAGAUGUGGAAGAACACCGAUGGCGAAGGCAGCUCCCUGGAUUAACACUGACGCUCAUGCACGAAAGCGUGGGGAGCAAACAGGAUUAGAUACCCUGGUAGUCCACGCCCUAAACGAUGUCAACUAGUUGUCGGAUCUGUUAAAAGAUUUGGUAACGUAGCUAACGCGUGAAGUUGACCGCCGGGGAAGUACGGUCGCAAGAUUAAAACUCAAAUGAAUUGACGG
RNAcentral lists this ribosomal RNA (394 nucleotides) under uncultured bacterium. RNAcentral describes it as "bacterial SSU rRNA". It matches the Rfam family "Bacterial small subunit ribosomal RNA", at positions 524 to 916 of the family's 1533-position model. The record is from RNAcentral.